CUCUUGGCUCCUGCUCCCGCUGCCGCCGCGCAGCCGCUCCCCGCCGCCACCUUUGGGGAUUUUGCAAGCCUUUAAUUGUCGUAAGCACAGAUUAAUUAAGCAGCGAUAAACACAAACCCAUGCAUUAUUGAUGAAUAAGGGUGAGUUCAGGUUGGUGCAAACGUUGUAAUUAAAUAUAAACCUCAAGCUGCCCAUUGUUAACUUACAAAUUACAUUACUAUUGCGACAUGUGUCGGUGCACGCGUGGACGGGAAGGGGCUCGCGCCCGGCACAGUGACCCUGCUCGGCCCCGGGCGGUGGGGACGGGGGCUGGGGGUUCGCGGGGGGUCCCCGCCUCCCCAUCCAUCGCUGGGCCGGGCCCUUCUGUGCCCGCUGCCCUCCUGGAUCCGCGCGGCCCCGAGGAUGCUCCAGCCGUCCCGCGCCGUCCCGCACAGGCCGAGGGACGUGCCACGGUCCCACGGGGACACCGGGCGCCGAGGAGAAACGGGGAGUUGUGGCUCCACUGGGAGGGGGCACGCACGGCCCCUGCACGUGCAUGGGCACCACCCUGUGCACUCCUUGCACACGCACCCUGCGCACGCAGCCCUGCACAGCCCCUGCAAGCAUACAAAACUGUGCGCACACACACGCACAUCCCCUGCACACACAGACACGCACGCCCGUGCACAUCCCCUGCACACACAGACACACACACACGUGCACAUCCCCUGCACACACCCCCUGCACGCUCCGUGCAUGCACCUGCUCUGUGCGCACACACCCGGCACGCCCCCAGCUCCCCGAUGUCAGCACCCACCAGAACAUCCCAGCCACCUGCAGGGGCUCAUGUCCCUGCGUCCCCGUUUCCCCAUAUCCUUGUGUCCCCAUGUCCCCAUAUCCCUGUGCCCCCAUGUCCCUGUGUCCCCGUGCCCCCAUGUCCCCAUGUCCCUGUGUCCCCAUAUCCCUGUGGCCCUGCGUCCCCAUGUCCCUGUGUCCCCGUGCCCCCAUGUCCCUAUGUCCCUGUGUCCCCAUGUCCCCAUGUCCCCAUGUUCCCGUGUCCCCAUGUCCCUGUGUCCCCGUUUCCCCAUGAUCCUGUGUCCCCAUGUCCCCGUGUCCCUGUGCCCCCAUGUCCCCAUGUCCCCACCCUGCAGGCAGGCGAGGCAGGGGCUGCAGCCUGUGCUCGGCCACCCUGUUCGAUGCUGCCCACAACAGGGACUUCGGUGCCACUGUCCCCUGUCCCCCCCCAGAGCCUGGGCACCCUCCCAGGCACCUCUCAGCGUUUGUACCCGCUGCCUUGCCCGCGUGUCCCUCCCCGCGUGGAUCUGCACGGCAGCCCCUUGCCCAGGACCCCGCACCGCAGCGGUGCCACCCUCACCGCGGGCACCGUGCUCCCCACGGCAAACCCCGGCCCUCGCCGCGUGGCUGCCACCGCCUGCCCCGCACGCGGCCGGGCCACCCGCAUCCCCAGGGGACCUCGGGGACACCCGCUGGGGACGAGGCACAACAAUGGGGGGGGGGGACAAGGUAGCUGGGGGGAGAGCUCGCGAGAGCCGCGAGCCCGGCUGGGGGAAUCGCUCGCGCCCGCGCUCCCAGAGUGCCCCUCUCCGGGGCGGCGGGGUAGCGGGGCUGGCAGCUGUUAGCUAUUUAUUAACCAGUCAUGGUUAAAUUGGUUUAUAAAUUAACAGAUGUUUUAACUUUAGUCUUUCUUCUGGGAAUGGAGGCAGCAAACUGGGCUGCGCUCGCGCCCGGGGCUCGGCGCGGGCCGGCCGGCCGCCCC
Molecule: long non-coding RNA, 1756 nt
Filed under: Anser cygnoides (Swan goose)
Lineage: Eukaryota; Metazoa; Chordata; Aves; Anseriformes; Anatidae
Description: lncRNA (ENSACDG00005013314.1)
Source: RNAcentral